UGACGGUACCUGACUAAGAAGCCCCGGCUAACUACGUGCCAGCAGCCGCGGUAAUACGUAGGGGGCAAGCGUUAUCCGGAUUUACUGGGUGUAAAGGGAGCGUAGACGGAACGGCAAGUCUGAUGUGAAAGGCAGGGGCUCAACUCCUGGACUGCAUUGGAAACUGUCGGUCUUGAGUGCCGGAGGGGUAAGCGGAAUUCCUAGUGUAGCGGUGAAAUGCGUAGAUAUUAGGAGGAACACCAGUGGCGAAGGCGGCUUGCUGGACGACAACUGACGCUGAGGCGCGAAAGCGUGGGGAGCAAACAGGAUUAGAUACCCUG
RNAcentral lists this ribosomal RNA (320 nucleotides) under uncultured bacterium. Its description in RNAcentral is "bacterial SSU rRNA". It matches the Rfam family "Bacterial small subunit ribosomal RNA", at positions 470 to 789 of the family's 1533-position model. The record is from RNAcentral.